UCUCUCCUGAAUCUGGCGGAUACGACUCCCAGCAUGACAUACCAAAACAACUCAUAAAACAGCAUAAAAUAUGUUUUUUGUUUUGGUUGAUAGGAUCCCGGACAGAUCAUUGUUGUGGACUGUCUGAGUUUUUAAAGAAAAGUGUCGGAGGGCGAAGGAUUGUGGCAACAAAAAAAUACGCACUGCUUUACGGUACCUGGUCCCCGACAACGACCAACCAAGCGGCGGCGGACGUGGUACGGAGGACGCU
Culex quinquefasciatus (southern house mosquito) is the source of this 250-nucleotide long non-coding RNA. RefSeq lists it as uncharacterized. The record is from RefSeq and is a predicted model, not a curated record. The transcript has 2 exons. NCBI's taxonomy places the organism in Eukaryota, Metazoa, Arthropoda, Insecta, Diptera, Culicidae.